This is a long non-coding RNA of Mauremys reevesii (Reeves's turtle), 722 nucleotides long. RefSeq lists it as uncharacterized. Lineage: Eukaryota; Metazoa; Chordata; Testudines; Geoemydidae. The transcript is spliced from 2 exons. The record is from RefSeq and is a predicted model, not a curated record.
AUAGCAACAGUGACAAAUCGAACGAGAGAAAACAUAUUUGAAAGAGUUUAUCAAACAAGAGGAUGAGGUGGGUAGGAAGUUUAUGUAACCCAUGUGCCUAACAGGGAGAUCUCUCUUUAAGAGACCCAUGCGGGAGAUAGGAGUGAGUUGUGUCUGGGUCAUUGUUGCUAGGCAGAUUUAGCCCUCCACAUCCAGAAGCACCUGGAUUUUGGUUGGGGUAAUUUGGGGUAUGGUUCAACAGGUUUCCUGUUACUGAGGUCAGACUCCAUACGGGCAGUUAGGGCAGCUGCUUUACAAAGGGCCAUGUGUGAGUUGGGAGAAGCAGAGCCCAGGAGCAGAAAGCAGGCUGUUGUUCCUAACUCUGAAGCAUUUUGCAGCAGGGGUUCUCUUUUUAAAUCUACACUUACUUGAUUAAUCAGUUAGCUGACUGACUAACAGUGAUUUCAGAAGAGGAAGGGUCUGCAUGAAUUCCAGUUGAAGAUUCCUACAAGCAAGUGGAGGGAAGAUGUUGUUUUUGACUCAGCAGACUAUAGAUUUGGUGAUCAAAGACUCUAACAGAGAUUCAAGUGAACUCAACCUAUGCUUUUGGGAACUCUCAGUUUCUUCUCCCUGUUUUGGUGGCGACUGAACUGUUGAGAUUUUAUGUAGAUUAUAUGUAGAUCUAUGGGGAUUAUAAAAUAACCAUGUUAUGUUAUAAAAAUUAAAUCAUUAUUUGUUUAUCA